AGCAAAAUCGAAUACCAGUCACCUAGAUAAAUCAAACUCUCCUUUGUAGUGCCAGAAGGAACAUGGUGGGAGAGUGUGUAUCACUCAUUUCUCAGUAUCUUAUCUACAUCUACACCCCAAUAGUUUUCUUGUUUAACUUGACAUUCAAUCUAGCCACCAUGGGGAUGGACCUUAUCUUCUUCAGGGAUACUCCACCAGACCCUGGCCGUCUUUCACUGUGACCAGGGUGACAUUUAUUGUUAGACCUGGGAGAUCUUAGAGCUCUUGGAACAUAGGGAGGUGCAAAGGUCCAUAGGAAGCUGAAGGAUGCCCAAAUGUUCCACCUGUAAUUAUCAUUUCCAGUGUGCCAUUCCACUCAGACUGGACAAUAGCUACCUGCUAUGCCAUGAAGUUCUAUCCCAAUCAUUUGUCUAUCACCUGGUUGAUGAAUGGGAUCAUUGUUGAGGGAGAAAAGUCAUCUGUACCCACUAAGAACAAAGAUGGUACAUAAAGCCUUGAGUGGUCCCUCAUGGACCCCAUGUUUGUGCAAAAAGAAGACAUUAUCUUCACCUGUCAGGUGUCUCAUGAUUCCCAGCCUUUGAUCAAUGAGACACCGAGAACUUCAGCUUCUCCCAAGGAUGGGGCAGAACCAGAUGCAGGCUCAUCACUUUCUGCACAGCUCUUUGUGAUUUUCCUCCUUGGACUCAAGGUUCUGUUAAUACUCAAUAUCAUCCUAUUCUUUGCCUACAGAAAGAAAACAACAGG
Molecule: non-coding RNA, 744 nt
Organism: Monodelphis domestica (gray short-tailed opossum)
Lineage: Eukaryota; Metazoa; Chordata; Mammalia; Didelphimorphia; Didelphidae
Source: RefSeq, a predicted model, not a curated record